GACGAACGCUGGCGGCAUGCCUAACACAUGCAAGUCUAGGGGUAGCAAUACCACUGGCGCACGGGUGAGUAACACGUAGGUUAUCUGCCCCCAUCACAGACAUAACCCCGGGAAACCGGGGCUAAUAUCUGAUGAGGUCGCGAGAUCAAAGCUUCGGCGGAUGGGGAUGAGCCUGCGGCUGAUUAGCUAGUUGGUGAGGUAACGGCUCACCAAGGCGACGAUCAGUAGCUGGUCUGAGAGGACGAACAGCCACACUGGAACUGAGACACGGUCCAGACUCCUACGGGAGGCAGCAGUGAGGAAUAUUGGUCAAUGGGAGCAAUCCUGAACCAGCAAUGCCGCGUGUGGGAUGACAGGGCUUCGCCUUGUAAACCACUGUCGGACGGGACGAAAGGAGGCCACGGGCCUCUGGGACGGUACCGUCAAAGGAAGGGUCGGCUAACUACGUGCCAGCAGCCGCGGUAAUACGUAGGACCCGAGCGUUGUCCGGAUUUACUGGGUAUAAAGGGUGCGUAGGCGGCCUUGUGCGUCAGAGGUGAAAUAUCCGGGCUUAACCCGGAGGGUGCCUUUGAUACGGCAGGGCUUGAGUGCGAGAGAGGAUGAUGGAAUUCCUGGUGUAGCGGUGAAAUGCGUAGAUAUCAGGAGGAACACC
RNAcentral lists this ribosomal RNA (652 nucleotides) under uncultured bacterium. RNAcentral's name for it is "bacterial SSU rRNA". It matches the Rfam family "Bacterial small subunit ribosomal RNA", at positions 28 to 710 of the family's 1533-position model. The record is from RNAcentral.